This 504-nucleotide unclassified non-coding RNA is filed under the name Leishmania donovani. Its description in RNAcentral is "gene:LdHU3.10.0110(CDS-product:ribosomal_protein_ l35a_putative)". Lineage: Eukaryota; Euglenozoa; Kinetoplastea; Trypanosomatida; Trypanosomatidae. The record is from RNAcentral.
GAGCAAGAUGACUACCUCGAAGGUCCAUUCGCAGCGCAGCAAGAAGCUGCACCAGCUGUCUGCCAAGACGAGCAGGGUGAACCGCAACCGCAAGGCACCUCGUCUUUACAUGAAGGGCACGCUCGCCGGCUACACGCGUGGCCUGCAUGGUCAGACCAAGCAAACUGCACUGGUCCGCGUUGAGAACGUCAACACCCGCGAGGACGCCACGUGGUAUGUGGGCAAGCGCGUCUGCUACGUCUACCACGGCAAGAAGGUGAAGCGGUGUGUGCGCUGGAGCAAGGCGCCCGCGCGCCGCAGCACCACUCGUGCCUUGUGGGGUCGCGUGACACGCCCGCACGGUAACGCCGGUAUGAUGCGCGUCAAGUUCAACGGCGCGUCUGUGCCGGCGUCCGCCAUUGGCCGCCGCAUCCGUGUGUACCUUUACCCGAGCCAGAUCUGAGGAGGUGGUCAUUCCAUGAUUAUCUUGGUUUCCUUAAUUUUUUUUAUGCGUGUGCUUACUUU